This is a long non-coding RNA of Helicoverpa armigera (cotton bollworm), 646 nucleotides long. RefSeq lists it as uncharacterized. The record is from RefSeq and is a predicted model, not a curated record. Lineage: Eukaryota; Metazoa; Arthropoda; Insecta; Lepidoptera; Noctuidae. The transcript is spliced from 2 exons.
CCGGUUUCCCGACGCGACAUAACGACUCAGUUUUGGAAUAAGUAUCAAGAAUUUAUAACAGUUGUUUUUUUAUUCAAAAAACUUCGCAAUAAUAAUGUAAAGGAUAUAAAAGCUGCUGACAAACUGAUUCUAAUUCAGUUGUGGACAAUAUUUUUGCAAGAUGGCGCGUUUACUGACCGUAGUUUUGGUUUUGGCUGUGGUUUCUUGUGUUUUGGCUGCUCCAGGUAAAAGGAGCAGAGGCGUCGCCCACGCAUCAGACGGCAGUAUCGGAGUAGGUGCUGUAGACGGUGGUACCUUCGGUGCCGGCAGCUUCAGCAUCGGCCAUGGAGGCGGCGGCAGAGGUCGAGGUAGCGGCGGUCACGGAGGCAAUCAUGGUACCAACUCCUACGGGGGCGCGGGAGGAGAUAGGGGCAAUACUUACUAUGAUAAGUAGUACCGCCUAGUUGAUCUACUGCUAUCGAACUGUUUUUUGUAUGUAAUGUCGGGAUAAAGAAAAUGUGAAGGAAGAAGACAAAAUUAGUCGAUCUUUAAAUGAUGAAGGUAAAUGUCGAAUUUCAAUGUGAAUAAAAUUAGCUCUAAGCAAACAAAACUAUGUUAAAUAAGUAGGUAAUAAUUAUAAUAAAUUAUUGUAUUCAAAAAUCUCAAA